Molecule: long non-coding RNA, 932 nt
Filed under: Monodelphis domestica (gray short-tailed opossum)
Lineage: Eukaryota; Metazoa; Chordata; Mammalia; Didelphimorphia; Didelphidae
Description: lncRNA (ENSMODG00000031261.2)
Source: RNAcentral
UUAAUACCAAAUUAGGCAAAUUUUUAGAUUCACAUUUUCAUAACACAAAAACAAAAAAAAAUAAUUUUAAUUCUACUUUCCUUUUAAAGCAGAAUUAAUCUAUAUGUGUGUUGUGCUCCCAACCAUGCAGAGCUCAUCAGUGGAUGAGAUUUCCUCUGACUACCAUUAUUUCGAUAUAUAUUAAGAGCUCCUUAUGAACAGCAAAUGAUCCAAGCAAUAUUUUGCAUAAGUAAGAAUGAGAAAGCACUCUCCCAAAUGUCUUCUAACAAAAUAAAUUACUGGAUAAAACUUAGUAAAUGCCAAGGGGCUGAUGUUUUCCUUUUUGUUUGUCUUUUUGUUUACAUUUCUAUUUUGGUCUAUGUCCCCAAUGCAAGAAAGUUCUUCAAAAGAUGUAUUUCUGAAGAGUUGUCAACAUAUUAAUAGAGGUGGCACUUCUCAAAUCAAGUGGGAAUCGGUUCUAUAUUUCAAGUGUAGAACAGGAAAAGGCUUGAAUUCCUUAAGGGCUCCAGACAACUGUUUAUUAAACUUUCACAGGCUACUUCACAAAACAGAAACAGAGGGCAGAUAUAAAGAAGUCUUGAAGAGAAAAACACCGAUGGCCAAAUUCUCCCUCAUUCCACACAAACAUGUGCAUGUACAUGCAGGUACAUAUCCCUUCCAGCCAAGAUAAAAUGGCGAUGUCACAUACAUCAUUGACAAGUUCACUGAAUUCCACUGUCAGAAAUUUUACUUUGACAAAAAAUGUUUUGCAAAUUGUUUCUCAGGACUUGUGAAGUCAUAGUGCUGGCUGAUGAGGUCCUAAAUGUUAGAUUAUCAAAGGAAAGUGGCAUGGAAUGAGAAGAUAGAAUGGUUCUACACUUCUUCUGGAAACAAAGGAAAACCCCUCGAAGGACCUGGCAACGCAUUAAUAAAUAUCAUUUUACACAUAUUCA